UUAUUGGGCGUAAAGGGCUCGUAGGUGGUUGAUCGCGUCGGAAGUGUAAUCUUGGGGCUUAACCCUGAGCGUGCUUUCGAUACGGGUUGACUUGAGGAAGGUAGGGGAGAAUGGAAUUCCUGGUGGAGCGGUGGAAUGCGCAGAUAUCAGGAGGAACACCAGUGGCGAAGGCGGUUCUCUGGGCCUUUCCUGACGCUGAGGAGCGAAAGCGUGGGGAGCGAACAGGCUUAGAUACCCUGGUAGUCCACGCUGUAAACGGUGGGUACUAGGUGUGGGGUCCAUUCCACGGGUUCCGUGCCGUAGCUAACGCUUUAAGUACCCCGCCUGGGGAGUACGGCCGCAAGGCUAAAACUCAAAGGAAUUGACGGGGCCCCGCACAAGCGGCGGAGCAUGCGGAUUAAUUCGAUGCAACGCGUAGAACCUUACCUGGGUUUGACAUGGAUCGGGAGUGCUCAGAGAUGGGUGUGCCUCUUUUGGGGUCGGUUCACAGGUGGUGCAUGGCUGUCGUCAGCUCGUG
Molecule: ribosomal RNA, 517 nt
Filed under: uncultured soil bacterium
Lineage: Bacteria
Description: bacterial SSU rRNA
Rfam family: Bacterial small subunit ribosomal RNA
Source: RNAcentral